GACGAACGCUGGCGGCGUGCUUAACACAUGCAAGUCGAACGGAAAGGCCCUGCUUUUGUGGGGUGCUCGAGUGGCGAACGGGUGAGUAACACGUGAGUAACCUGCCCUUGACUUUGGGAUAACUUCAGGAAACUGGGGCUAAUACCGGAUAGGAGCUCCUGCUGCAUGGUGGGGGUUGGAAAGUUUCGGCGGUUGGGGAUGGACUCGCGGCUUAUCAGCUUGUUGGUGGGGUAGUGGCUUACCAAGGCUUUGACGGGUAGCCGGCCUGAGAGGGCGACCGGCCACAUUGGGACUGAGAUACGGCCCAGACUCCUACGGGAGGCAGCAGUGGGGAAUAUUGCACAAUGGGCGGAAGCCUGAUGCAGCAACGCCGCGUGCGGGAUGACGGCCUUCGGGUUGUAAACCGCUUUCGCCUGCGACGAAGCGUGAGUGACGGUAAUGGGUAAAGAAGCACCGGCUAACUACGUG
RNAcentral lists this ribosomal RNA (468 nucleotides) under uncultured bacterium. RNAcentral describes it as "partial 16S ribosomal RNA". It matches the Rfam family "Bacterial small subunit ribosomal RNA", at positions 28 to 507 of the family's 1533-position model. The record is from RNAcentral.